Molecule: long non-coding RNA, 316 nt
Filed under: Ananas comosus (pineapple)
Lineage: Eukaryota; Viridiplantae; Streptophyta; Magnoliopsida; Poales; Bromeliaceae
Description: long non-coding RNA (ACOM_LNC034883)
Source: RNAcentral
AGUUGGCAAUUUUUAUAAUUAGUACGAAAAAUUUUUAAACGGUCAUAAUUUUUUCUUUAGGUGUCUUUUUCAGCGUGCAAUGCCAAUUCAAAAAAUAUUUUUUGAAAUCUACACGUUGAACCGUAAAGCAGUUCCGGCUGAAUUUGAGAUCCAAAUUUAACUGCUUAGACUUCUUUUUUUGUAUUGUUAGGUUGCUUUUGGAAAGUUUUUUUUUUUUAUUUUUUCUAUUUUGAGUCAAGUUAUUUAGUUAUUUUUUAUUGGUUUAAAUUUAGAAAUAUAUUAGAAUUUAUUAUCUUUUGUCAACUAGGAUUUGGAU